Molecule: long non-coding RNA, 1908 nt
Organism: Arachis ipaensis
Lineage: Eukaryota; Viridiplantae; Streptophyta; Magnoliopsida; Fabales; Fabaceae
Source: RefSeq, a predicted model, not a curated record
AUGUAUGUAUGUAUGUAUGUAUGUAUAAUAAGAGGUGCCAUGACAUUAUCUAAUUCAGCCAUGAGGAUAGUUUAAUAGGUGGUGUGGUGUCCCAGAAGAAAUAUGAAGGUAGGUAGAGAGAGUAAUAUAUAGUAUGCGAAUAAUAAAGGGCAUGGUACAGUUAGAGGGUAGAUUGAAAGUGGGGAUCACAAUAAUAAUAGUAAUAAUAAGGCAAUGAUGAAAGACCCAAGACUUGCAUUGAGACUUGCUUCUAUGUCUCUGUACUAUGUCACUAUGCUGUGUGCUUUUGAAUACUCAUUUUGUCUUGUUCCUUCUCAUCUCCAUGCAACGCCUCCUCCUACACAGUAACGCCUCGGUUGCUCCACCGUACCACCACCACAACCACCACCACAUAAUAAAUUUCCAAUGUGUUUCUGACUUUAUUACCUGGAAACAAACAAAUCAUGCUUGGACAGUACUAGUAUAGUGGACUUUAUUUUAUCCUUUAAUUUAUUUUGUUUUUUAUAAUUCAAGUCACACAUGCAAAAAACUAAAAACAGGUUAAUGUAGUGUUAAAUUUAUUUCUCUUCCGUUAAUAAGAUGAUAUGGAUAGAUUUAAUUAAGGUCGGUGUAGAUGAACGAAUAUGGUAAAUAAUAUUUCAACGCAAUAAGGAACGCUUUGCUUUGGUUAUGUUUGUGGUAUGUUUGUUUAUUUUAUUUUAUAAUAAUAUACAUGUCGUGAUGAUGUAAGUUAUUAGUGUAAAGUAAACACCGUUUUGCAUAACCUAAUUUUGGAACAUGAGUGGUAACUAAAAAGCACCAUUAUUAGUGUGAGUCAGUGCUUUUUUCUCUCUCUUUCAUUCAUUGACUCACACAUGUGUGUAUAUAUAAAGAAGCAAAGAGUGGGUUAGGGUUUAGAGAGGAUGAGUUGGUGGUUGAGGGGAAUGUUGGCUGGCUCGAGGCUUCAAUUUGGUUUGGGCUUCGGACCAGGCUUCAUUCCUCUCAAACUAACUAAACUCCAUCAUUAUAUUCUUCUUCUUCUUCUUCUUCAUGAGGGAGGUGGUGGCUGCUUCUGCUGCAAAGGUUAAGGUUGAGAGGAAUGUUGUCUGGCUCGAGAGGUCUUAUUAGCUUCAUGAAUUGUUUGAUUUGAUGAUGAUUAGUCAAAGUGUCUAAUAAUCUCGGACCAGGCUUCAUUCCCCCCAUCCAACCUUUGCUAUAUGCUUCUGCUUGCUUUCACUUUCUUUUUAAUGUUAAGUUCCUCUUUUGCAACCUCCAAGUUUUCCAAAUUAAUUAUAAUAUCUUUCACUCCAACGGAAAAUAAAAUGAACUGGCAAGUGAGCCAAAACAAUGCACAUCAAGGCAGAACAAGUUGAAAGGCUCUUCUGCAUCGUGAAAAGUAUAGUGAUUUGAAGGGAACCUGCUUACAUACAUUCAACUGCGAAAGAAAAAAGGCAUCAUUUUCAUCAAUCUGAAUGCAAUGUACUUCAGCGAAAAUGGCAGUGAGGAGUAUUAAUUUAAUUGAUGAUGCCCUAGUUGCUGCAGAGGCAUAUCUAUUAAGGAAAUUGAUGAGUUAUGAAUGAAAGAAAUUAAAGAAAGAGAUGAGAGAUAGAUCAGAUGUGCUGGAACGGUUAACGAGAAGAAGAAGAAGAAGAAGCAAUGGAUUCUAUCAAUGACAUAGAUGUAGCAGAAGAUGCAUCUAAGAUCACUGACUCAAGAGGUCGAUGCAUGAUGAUGCAAAACUAAACAUGGAAAGAAGAGAAAGAGACGAGACAUCAUGGUUUUCUUUCUCUUCUCUUCUCUUCUUUUCUAAGUAUAUAUGUAAGAAGGUGUAUUUUAGUGUAAUGUAAUAAUGGAGCUUUUAAAGUUGUUGAAAAUUCAGGAACCAUCUUCGGAAACAGCUUCGAUCAGCAAUAUCAACUUCUUCCUCCA